This is an RNA transcript of Populus euphratica (Euphrates poplar), 2155 nucleotides long. It is a transcript of the gene named Ras-induced vulval development antagonist protein, with no coding region annotated. The transcript is spliced from 3 exons. The record is from RefSeq and is a predicted model, not a curated record. NCBI's taxonomy places the organism in Eukaryota, Viridiplantae, Streptophyta, Magnoliopsida, Malpighiales, Salicaceae.
UACCACGUUUUUAGCGGCGGACUUAACAAGCUGCACCGAAGAAACCGACUUUAAGACAGGCGGUCCUCCUCCCUCCCAUUACAGAAAUAUCCUUAAAAAAUCAAUCUUCCUGGUGAACUCUAUCUCCUAUCCCUAAAAUGGGCAGGCCAUUGUCCACCGUUGAAAUUCCUGAUAGACGAUACAUUCCUGACCGCCAGAACAGCCGUUACACACCAGAAUCUGACGCCUCCCCUGACCAUCGCCGCCGCCGUGACCGUGGUAGUCCCUCUUAUCAAAGCUACGACGAUCGCCGUCGCGAAAUCGAUCGAGGCAGACGCCGUCGGUCGAGCUCACCCGACUACUCUAGAAGCCCUAGAAGAAGAACAACAAGAAGAAGCCCAAGCCCUAGGCAAAGACAAACCCUAGAUCAUCCUCUCCCCAAAAAAUUCGGCAAGGACUGGUCUUUUCUUGAUAGGAAUGGAAGGGAAUCGGAUGAGGAAUCGGAUGAGGAAUUGAAAGGAUUGAGUUUUGAGGAGAGGAGGAGGCUGAAGAGGCAGAAGAUGAGGAAGUCUAUGAGGUAUUGUAUUUGGAAUGUUUCACCAAGUCCUCCGAGAGGGGAUAAUGAAGAGGAACUUGAGGAGAAAGCGGAUAAGAUUGAGGAGAAGCAUGGAGAGGAUGAAGAAAAGAGUGAUGAUUCUAGCGGGAAAGAGAAGGAGAAAGGAAAUGAUGGAAAGGGGAUAAUGGGGUCAGAGAAUUCUGGGAGUAGCGAGUCAGAGUCAGAGUCAGAGUCUGAGUCUGAGUCAGAUGAUUCGAGGGAGAAAAGAAGGAGGGGAUUGAGUUCUAAACGUAGGAGGAGAAGGAACAGUGAUAGUGAAUCAGAUGUUAGUGAGAGCCAAAGUGAGAGCGAACCCGACUCUGAAGAAGAUCGGAAACGGAGAAAGAAGUCCCGGAAAAGUAUUAGUAGGCGGAGAAACAGUGGUAAGAGCAUUGGUAGAAGAAGAAAGAGUACAAGGAAGAAGAGUAAGUAUAGUGAUUCUGAUUAUAGUGGGAGUGAGGAGUCUGAUGAUGAUCGUGUAAAGUCUAAGAAGAGGAGUCGCUCUUCGGGUUCGCAAUCUAAGGGGAGCAAGAAGAGAAGCACUGGAACAGAGAGUGAGAAUCUGGAUUCCAAUGAGGGUUCUGGUUCUGAGGAAAACAAAGUAAAUGAUGAUGAUGCUGCCAAGGCUGAAACUGAUGCUGAGGCAUUGAUGUUUAAAGAAAUGAUUGAGGCACAAAAGAAACCCGCUCUGGAUAAUGAACCUGAGGUUGGGCCAAUGCCCUUGCCUAGAGCUGAAGGGCAUAUUAGUUAUGGUGGAGCUUUGAGGCCUGGUGAAGGUGAUGCUAUUGCUCAGUAUGUGCAGCAAGGGAAACGUAUUCCACGUAGAGGUGAAGUGGGUCUUUCUGCAGAGGAGAUUCAGAAAUUUGAGAAUCUUGGGUAUGUGAUGAGUGGUAGUAGGCAUCAGAGGAUGAAUGCCAUUCGUAUCAGGAAAGAAAACCAAGUUUACAGUGCUGAAGAUAAGCGGGCGCUGGCCAUGUUUAACUAUGAAGAGAAGGCGAAACGUGAACACAAGGUCAUGGCUGAUUUGCAACGGCUGGUGCAGCGUCAUAUUGGGCAGGAUGUUGGCCCUAGCCAUGAUCCAUUUGCUGCAAAAGCAUCCGAUGGUGCUGAUGCUUAGGGAGACCACCGAGUAGAAGGGACCUGCCACUGAUUGUUUUCCUAUGAAGUCUUGGAAACUUUGUUGCAUGAAGUAUCCUGACAUGGAUCCAUCAUGAGCCUGCGAACAAAUUUCUUUGACACUUCUGUUUCAAGGUAUCUGACUGGCAAGAGAAAUCCAAGCAAGCAAAAACUGGGAAUCUGACCUCUCACUUUUAAUUCUGUGCAUACAUGUAAAAGUUGUGAGAGGACUGGUUUAGAGAAUAUCAAUGAAGAUCUCCAUUGUAGGACAUGUAUCUGCAGACAGAAUGUGAUGUGUCUCAAUAAUUCUAGGGAUCUGGCGAGGGAUGCUCAUAUUUAUGCAACUGUAUUAACUUAAGGAAAAUUGUCUUUUUGUUUGACUAGACUUUUUACAAUUAGAUGGGAACUGUAAUUUUGCACUACUUUUAAUCCUUUUUAAGUUGUCCAUUAUUUCUGUUAUUUUUA